UGGGGGAUAUUGCACAAUGGGGGGAACCCUGAUGCAGCGACGCCGCGUGGGUGAUGAAGCGCCUCGGCGCGUAAAGCCCUGUCAGCAGGGAAGAAAAUGACGGUACCUGAAGAAGAAGCCCCGGCUAACUACGUGCC
Molecule: ribosomal RNA, 137 nt
Filed under: uncultured bacterium
Lineage: Bacteria
Description: partial 16S ribosomal RNA
Rfam family: Bacterial small subunit ribosomal RNA
Source: RNAcentral